GCGGAGGUCGCGGGUUCGAGCCCCGUCCGCUGGUUAGAAUGCCGCCCUGUCACGGCGGAGGUCGCGGGUUCGAGCCCCGUCCGCUGCGCCA
RNAcentral lists this transfer RNA (91 nucleotides) under Campylobacter jejuni. Its description in RNAcentral is "tRNA-Asp". The record is from RNAcentral. Lineage: Bacteria; Pseudomonadati; Campylobacterota; Epsilonproteobacteria; Campylobacterales; Campylobacteraceae.